RNAcentral lists this ribosomal RNA (488 nucleotides) under uncultured Polaribacter sp. RNAcentral describes it as "bacterial SSU rRNA". It matches the Rfam family "Bacterial small subunit ribosomal RNA", at positions 39 to 524 of the family's 1533-position model. Lineage: Bacteria; Pseudomonadati; Bacteroidota; Flavobacteriia; Flavobacteriales; Flavobacteriaceae. The record is from RNAcentral.
GCAUCGGGGGGCUUACCGUGCAGUCGAGGGGUAACAUUGUGCUUGCACAGAUGACGACCGGCGCACGGGUGCGUAACGCGUAUAGAACCUACCUUUUACAGGGGAAUAGCCUUUAGAAAUGAAGAUUAAUGCCCCAUAGUAUUAAGACUUGGCAUCAGGUUUUAAUUAAAGAUUUAUCGGUAAAAGAUGGCUAUGCGUCCUAUUAGUUAGUUGGUAAGGUAACGGCUUACCAAGACAGCGAUAGGUAGGGGUCCUGAGAGGGAGAUCCCCCACACUGGUACUGAGACACGGACCAGACUCCUACGGGAGGCAGCAGUGAGGAAUAUUGGACAAUGGAGGCGACUCUGAUCCAGCCAUGCCGCGUGUAGGAAGAAUGCCCUAUGGGUUGUAAACUACUUUUAUACAGGAAGAAACACUGGUAUGUAUACCAGCUUGACGGUACUGUAAGAAUAAGGACCGGCUAACUCCGUGCCAGCAGCCGCGGUAAC